RNAcentral lists this ribosomal RNA (433 nucleotides) under uncultured bacterium. Its description in RNAcentral is "partial 16S ribosomal RNA". It matches the Rfam family "Bacterial small subunit ribosomal RNA", at positions 29 to 507 of the family's 1533-position model. The record is from RNAcentral.
AACGAACGCUGGCGGCAUGCCUAACACAUGCAAGUCGAACGAGACCUUCGGGUCUAGUGGCGCACGGGUGCGUAACGCGUGGGAACCUGCCCUUAGGUUCGGAAUAACUCCCCGAAAGGGGUGCUAAUACCGGAUAAUGUCUUCGGACCAAAGAUUUAUCGCCUUUGGAUGGGCCCGCGUUGGAUUAGCUAGUUGGUAGGGUAAAAGCCUACCAAGGCGACGAUCCAUAGCUGGUCUGGGAGGAUGAUCAGCCACACUGGGACUGAGACACGGCCCAGACUCCUACGGGGGGCAGCAGUAGGGAAUAUUAGACAAGGGGCGAAAGCCUGAUCCAGCAAUGCCGCGUGAGUGAUGAAGGCCUUAGGGUUGUAAAGCUCUUUUACCCGGGAUGAUAAUGACAGUACCGGGAGAAUAAGCUCCGGCUAACUCCGUG